CCUUCAAUCCAAAUUAAAAAACACUUGCAAUGAAAAUUACAAUGAACACAAUCUUGACAGUAAAAAAUUCAUCAAACACAAGAAAAUGGUAACUUUUGCAUCGAGAUUUGUAAACUAUGAUUGGGAAUCAUUGUGAUUUUCAUCACCACUAUCACUAUCUUGAUGCUGCGUUUGAUUAUGAUGCUCCAAAUUCAUACCCAAAUCAACUCUACUGUUAUUAUUAUUAUUAUUAUAUGCAUUCAACAUUCCCAUAUUUGACCCCAAUUGUUGAACCGGAUGUGACUGCUGCAAAACCAUUGAACCUAACUGAACCGGACUGAACCGUCCUCCACCGGGAAACUCCAACCCACCAAUUCUUGAACUCUUGUACUGCCACAAUUGGUGGUCCGAUUGACCCGCUCCAACUGAAACCGCCGUUGAACCGGUGCCUCCGCUUACUGGUAACAUCCAGAACCCGUUACCAACGUUGCCACCAGCUGGUGCAACCGCCCACAUGGCUUGACCCGGGAUUAAAUUCGAACCGGGUUUUGAAGAAUCUGAACCGGGUUUAUCAGGUGAAGGGGAGGUGGCGCCACUGGUAGUAGUAUCUUCUCUGAAUCGUUUUUUCAUGUAAUUUUCAUCUGGGUCUUGGAUAAAACCGGUGUUGGCAGUGGAUAGAUGGUGGUGGAAGCCUAACAUAGCGGCGGAGGCGGAGGCGGAGGCGCCGUGGAUGAAAAGAGGUGCAGAUUUUGACGGCGGAGCUGAAAUUGUUGUACCGCUGCUACGUGUAGAAACGUUAAGAGUUGAGAAAUUAGCCGGGAUUGUACCAGUUCCGGUGGUAGCAAUAAUUGCCGGUUCUGCUUGUUGCAAUAGCCACUCAAUGGUUUCUCCGUCAGAUUUAUGCCCCAAUUCUCUAGUGAGUUGAAAAACCCUGGCGGCGCAUAAAGCAGGCAUGCGUAUGCGCCGCCCACGACCGUCCACCUUAGUAUGACGGUCUUUAGAAGGUUUUUUAGCUACC
Molecule: unclassified non-coding RNA, 997 nt
Filed under: Hevea brasiliensis (rubber tree)
Lineage: Eukaryota; Viridiplantae; Streptophyta; Magnoliopsida; Malpighiales; Euphorbiaceae
Source: RNAcentral